CUCUUCUGUUUUCAGUGUUUUUAAUAAGACUGUCCAAAACCUCCUGAAGGGUUUAUUCUCACCCCUAAACCUCAUAUAUGAGCUCACGGUCCGGUUGGACUCUGAAGGGGGGUUUUGAUUAAGACUUCCAGGGUCGAGAACUUUUUCUUUUUUAUUGUAUUCUAUGGGAGUUAAUUGUAAAACUUCAAUAAUGUAACACUGAACCAAAAGAAGACCAAGAUGCAAACUCACAGGCGGGCAAAAUCAAAGUCUGUUUAAUCAAAAAGAGUUGGUGAACUAAAGACAAGACGAGCUGGCACAGAGAGGAGGGAAAGCUGGGUUUAAAUCCACCAGUGCAGCGGAGUUAACGAGACACAGGUGAGACUCAUCAGGGUCGUCAGGGGAGCAGGUGACACAAGGAGAGGGAAGUCAUCGAACCUGAAACAAGAGACAAAGGUGAGUAUAAAAAUAAACAGGAAACACAAGACGAGAAACGUGAGGGAUGGAAAAAAAAACAACUUAAAGGGAUAAUCUGGGGUAAAAUUAAUUUAGGGUCAAACACAACGUAACACCGAGUUAGACCCCCCCCCCCCCCCCAUGAGAGAUGAAUGUUGCCGACAUUCCACUCUAUAGCCACAAAUAAAGCAAAGAGACUAAACACAACUCACCUACUCUCUUCCAAUAGAUUGUUUCUACGAAGACCUCCAGGCAGGUGCAUCGACCGAUCAUUUCUUUAUCAUUUUCCAUGAAGAAAUGAUCAUAAAUGUUCUUCCUUGAGCUGCGGCAUCCCGCUGUAGUCCAUAAUGGACUGGCCUGAGGUCUCUCUACAAACAAGCGUCUGCUGGAAGAGAGUAGGUGAGUUGUGUUUAGUCUCUUUGCUAAAGAAAUGAGUCAAAGUUAAAAAGAUGUUUGGUGUCUAGUACUAUGGCUGUGACCCUAUAUGUACUAACCUCAGUAGAACAUGGUGUAGUUCCGUUCAGUAACAGAACCUCAUUGGAAAAUUAUCUGAUUUAACUUUACUGUGCUCUUGUUCAAAUAUAUUAACUCGACAGCACAUAAAUUCAUAUCUGUUCACAAAAUCAUGAUUUUAUUGAUAAUUCGGCUCAAUAAAAACACCUUUACCUUUUCAUUUUACUACAGUAGAAGUUUAUUGGCCCAGCUUAUAGACUACAGAAGUGAAGAAACGCCCCCGCUUAAGUUUGUUUUCUUAGGAGUUAGAAAAACUCUGAAUAUAGUACUAUGUCUGUGACCCUAUAUGUCCUGUUGAUGAAGUUAGGUGCUGUUCUGAGCAUUAUUUGUGGCUAUAGAGUGGCGUUUUGGUUGAGGGCGUGGCUCUCUGUAUUUCUAUCCUGCGGUCGUUACUAAAGUUGGUAUAACUAGAGAAGCAAGCGGUCGACAACAUUCAUCUCUUGAGGGGGGGUCUAACUCUGUGUUACAGAAUCACGGAGUCGCGUGUAGUUAUUUUUGAGUUUUUCAGGUCGGAUUGAGUGUCUUUUAUGCUAACUCAGUAAGUCCACGCAACACAAAAUCGAAAUUUCCAAAAAAAACAGCUGACAUUUGAAGGAUUUGAUCAACUCCCCCAGACAAGGCCGGACAGCCCCCCAAAAAAGAGGGCAUGUCCGGGGAAAAGAGGAUGUAUGGUCACCCUGAAUCUGAUUAAUCGCCAUAGCUCACUUGUUCAUCAGAGGAGAGAUUGGGUUGUAUUUUUAGUUGAAGUACAUAUGAGCUAACAUCAGGACAUGGCGAGGGACUGUUAGCGUGUUAGCACAACAACCAUGAAGCAUUACAGGUCGAAAAGGUUGUAUAAGAGUCUGGAUCUCAUCUGUACCCCCUUUCUUUACGGAGUUAUAUCUCUAUCUGUGUGUUUUUUUCACUUCUCCUGUCAGCUUCUUCCUCGAUUUAAAGCUAUUUGAUAUUUUGUGCUUUUCUCUGACUUUGUUCUUUGAAUGUCUUUUUGAGAUACCUUGGACGGCACAAAAGCGAAGAAUAACACAACAAAACAGCCAAUCAAGACAGUGACAUGACCAGCAAGGUAAAACCACUCUUCUCUGCAGCAGAGUCGGGUUCCUCUAAAGAGAUAGUUGUGACGCUUUUUUCAGGUUUCAAUAAAAGCAUCUCAGUGGGACGGAGAAG
This is a non-coding RNA of Xyrichtys novacula (pearly razorfish), 2112 nucleotides long. The record is from the annotation of a GenBank genome assembly. Lineage: Eukaryota; Metazoa; Chordata; Actinopteri; Labriformes; Labridae.